UACAGGGGGUGCAAACGUUGCCCGGAAUUAUUGGGCGUAAAGCGCGCGUAGGCGGCUACCUAAGUCGGAUGUGAAAGCCCCUGGCUUAACUGGGGAAGUGCACCCGAAACUGGGUAGCUAGAGUGCAAAAGAGGGUCGCGGAAUUCCCGGUGUAGAGGUGAAAUUCGUAGAUAUCGGGAGGAACACCGGUGGCGAAGGCGGCGACCUGGGUUGACACUGACGCUGAGGCGCGAAAGCGUGGGGAGCAAACAGG
Molecule: ribosomal RNA, 253 nt
Filed under: uncultured bacterium
Lineage: Bacteria
Description: partial 16S ribosomal RNA
Rfam family: Bacterial small subunit ribosomal RNA
Source: RNAcentral